UACGGAGGAUGCAAGCGUUAUCCGGAAUGAUUGGGCGUAAAGCGUCCGCAGGUGGCUGUGUAAGUCUGCUGUUAAAGAGUCUAGCUCAACUAGAUACAAGCAGUGGAAACUACACGGCUAGAGUACGUUCGGGGCAGAGGGAAUUCCUGGUGUAGCGGUGAAAUGCGUAGAGAUCAGGAAGAACACCGGUGGCGAAAGGCGCUCUGCUAGGCCGUAACUGACACUGAGGGACGAAAGCUAGGGGAGCGAAUGGG
This 254-nucleotide ribosomal RNA is filed under the name uncultured bacterium. Its description in RNAcentral is "partial 16S ribosomal RNA". It matches the Rfam family "Bacterial small subunit ribosomal RNA", at positions 524 to 776 of the family's 1533-position model. The record is from RNAcentral.